Molecule: ribosomal RNA, 253 nt
Filed under: uncultured bacterium
Lineage: Bacteria
Description: partial 16S ribosomal RNA
Rfam family: Bacterial small subunit ribosomal RNA
Source: RNAcentral
UACGUAGGGUGCUAGCGUUGUUCGGAAUCAUUGGGCGUAAAGCGCGUGUAGGCGGUUAGUUAAGUCGGGUGUGAAAUCCCUAGGCUCAACCAAGGAAGUGCAUCCGAAACUAACUAGCUAGAAGAUGGUAGAGGAAGGUGGAAUUCCAAGUGUAGAGGUGAAAUUCGUAGAUAUCAAGCGGAACACCGGUGGCGAAGGCGGCCUUCUGGACAGUGACUGACGCUGAGACGCGAAAGCGUGGGGAGCGAACAGG